RNAcentral lists this long non-coding RNA (870 nucleotides) under Chinchilla lanigera (long-tailed chinchilla). RNAcentral's name for it is "lncRNA (ENSCLAG00000027661.1)". Lineage: Eukaryota; Metazoa; Chordata; Mammalia; Rodentia; Chinchillidae. The record is from RNAcentral.
UAUAAACUGAAAUUUUUCUUGUUUGCCACUUGAAAAUUAAGAACGUGUGUGUGUGCGUGCGCACGCGUGUGCAUGAGGGUGUAACGGCACUGAAGGACUGUGGCCAGAACAUGCAGCAAUGAAGAAAGGUCAGUGUUUCACUAUGCUGUCUUUAAGAAAAGAAAACUCGAACUCACUUUGGCAUGAAGGGGUCCUUCGGGAGGAGCCUCGCGGUGUGGAAAGGGUGGUAUUUCUAGGCAGUGUUUCCAAACGUGCAGUCGGGUAGAUGACUUUAUGUGGCACAUGAACAAGCACUUUUAUUUGAAUAAUUCCGUAUUUAUUUUUGCCAGCCCUCCGCCCCUCCCUGCACACUCGCGCGAUGGUACCGCUGUCUGCCUGGGGCUGCCGGUUUUGUUCACAGCAUCUAUGGGGCCCCUCAGGCCCCGCAGGUCACCGCUCGCCCUCCCGCUUCUCUGCAGGGUCUUUUCCACCUUACCGCCCCGCCCCGCCCCGCAGGAGCUCCUCCCGUGCCCCCUGCAACUCACGAGUCAGCGGCUGAAACUCGGUCUGAAGAACCCAGCCCACGAAGCAAAGCCACUCCCUGAUGUCGCUGUGCAGAACGAGACAUUCAUCGCAGAGGACCUGUACCUCCACACAAUGCAUCUUCAUUCCUUUCCCCCUCCCCUCCCCCUUCCUUCCCCUCCCCAUUUACCAAAGCUUUACUGCCAUUUUCUCCUCCCAUUCUUUUGUUUAAAUCCCUUUCCCUUCCCCCUCCCUCUUCCUCCUCCUCCUUCCCAUUUACACAGUUUUUCCCACUUCCCAAUCCGUGUCUGUCCUCCAUUUGCUCUUUACUUACCCUCUGGCUUUCUCACACAAGAGAAACAAUGUUAC